Molecule: ribosomal RNA, 484 nt
Filed under: uncultured bacterium
Lineage: Bacteria
Description: partial 16S ribosomal RNA
Rfam family: Bacterial small subunit ribosomal RNA
Source: RNAcentral
GAUGAACGCUGGCGGCGUGCUUAACACAUGCAAGUCGAACGGUGAAGCAGGAGCUUGCUCUUGUGGAUCAGUGGCGAACGGGUGAGUAACACGUGAGCAACCUGCCCCUGACUCUGGGAUAAGCGCUGGAAACGGCGGCGAAUACUGGAUAUGUGAUGUGACCGCAUGGUCUGCAUCUGGCAAGAAUUUCGGUUGGGGAUGGGCUCGCGGGCUAUCAGCUUGUUGGUGAGGUAAUGGCUCACCAAGGCGUCGACGGGUAGCCGGCCUGAGAGGGUGACCGGCCACACUGGGACUGAGACACGGCCCAGACUCGUACGUGAGGCAGCAGUGGGGAAUAUUGCACAAUGGGCGGAAGCCUGAUGCAGCAACGCCGCGUGAGGUAUGACGGCCUUCGGGUUGUAAACCUCUUUUAGCAGGGAAGAAGCGAAAGUGACGGUACCUGCAGAAAAAGCACCGGCUAACUACGUGCCAGCCGCCGCCGUAA